RNAcentral lists this long non-coding RNA (218 nucleotides) under Elaeis guineensis (African oil palm). RNAcentral's name for it is "long non-coding RNA (EGUI_LNC056328)". The record is from RNAcentral. Lineage: Eukaryota; Viridiplantae; Streptophyta; Magnoliopsida; Arecales; Arecaceae.
GAAAUACCUGUGGUUGGACCACAAGAAGAUCCUCAAUCAGAAGUAUCCAAAAAUGAGUACAUCCAUAAUACACAUCUCCUCUCUAAAAGUCAGAUAGAGUGCAUCAAGCACCUCUGAGAUAUGGCUUUGUCAUUGAGAAUGACAAUUUGAUCAACAUCAUUUAAGAUGAUGAUCCACUGACCUAUUUGAAAGCUGUCAUGAGUAAAGACUCAAACAGA